RNAcentral lists this ribosomal RNA (428 nucleotides) under uncultured bacterium. RNAcentral's name for it is "partial 16S ribosomal RNA". It matches the Rfam family "Bacterial small subunit ribosomal RNA", at positions 354 to 796 of the family's 1533-position model. The record is from RNAcentral.
GUGGGGAAUAUUGGGCAAUGGGCGAAAGCCUGACCCAGCAACGCCGCGUGAAGGAAGAAGGCUUUCGGGUUGUAAACUUCUUUUGUCAGGGACGAAAAAAAUGACGGUACCUGACGAAUAAGCCACGGCUAACUACGUGCCAGCAGCCGCGGUAAUACGUAGGUGGCAAGCGUUAUCCGGAUUUACUGGGUGUAAAGGGCGUGUAGGCGGGAAAGCAAGUCAGAUGUGAAAACUAUGGGCUCAACCCAUAGCCUGCAUUUGAAACUGUUUUUCUUGAGUACUGGGGAGGCAGAUGGAAUUCCUAGUGUAGCGGUGAAAUGCGUAGAUAUUAGGAGGAACACCAGUGGCGAAGGCGAUCUGCUGGACAGCAACUGACGCUGAGGCGCGAAAGCGUGGGGAGCAAACAGGAUUAGAUACCCGGGUAGUCC